RNAcentral lists this ribosomal RNA (497 nucleotides) under uncultured bacterium. Its description in RNAcentral is "partial 16S ribosomal RNA". It matches the Rfam family "Bacterial small subunit ribosomal RNA", at positions 28 to 507 of the family's 1533-position model. The record is from RNAcentral.
GACGAACGCUGGCGGCGUGCCUAAUACAUGCAAGUUGAGCGCUGAAGGUUGGUACUUGUACCAACUGGAUGAGCAGCGAACGGGUGAGUAACGCGUGGGGAAUCUGCCUUUGAGCGGGGGACAACAUUUGGAAACGAAUGCUAAUACCGCAUAAAAACUUUAAACACAAGUUUUAAGUUUGAAAGAUGCAAUUGCAUCACUCAAAGAUGAUCCCGCGUUGUAUUAGCUAGUUGGUGAGGUAAAGGCUCACCAAGGCGAUGAUACAUAGCCGACCUGAGAGGGUGGUCGGCCACAUUGGGACUGGGGCACGGCCCAAACUCCUACGGGAGGCAGCAGUAGGGAAACUUCGGCAAUGGACGAAAGUCUGACCGAGCAACGCCGCGGGAGUGAAGAAGGUUUUCGGAUCGUAAAACUCUGUUGGUAGGGAAGAACGUUGGUGAGAGUGGAAAGCUCAUCAAGUGACGGUAACUACCCAGAAAGGGACGGCUAACUACGUG